GAUAAGAACGUAGUGAAAUGCGAUAAGUAAUGUGAAUUGCAGAAUUCAGUGAAUCAUCGAAUCUUUGAACGCACCUUGCGCUCCUUGGUAUUCCGAGGAGCAUGCCUGUUUGAGUGUCAUGAAAUUCUCAACCUUUUCAGCUUUCUUUGUUGAUCAGGCUUGGAUGUGGGAGUAUGCGGGCUUCUCAGAAGUCGGCUCUCCUGAAAUGCAUUAGCGGGACCUUUGUUGCCUGGCUUUGGUGUGAUAAUUAUCUACGCCAUUGUAGUCAAGCAGCUUAAAAUGAGGUUUCAGCUUCUAACCGUCUCCCCUGAGACAACUUUUUGACAAUUUGACCUCAAAUCAGGUAGGACUACCCGCUGAACUUAAGCAUAUCAAUAAGCGGAGGA
This 386-nucleotide unclassified non-coding RNA is filed under the name soil metagenome. RNAcentral describes it as "partial contains 5.8S ribosomal RNA, internal transcribed spacer 2, and large subunit ribosomal RNA". The stretch from base 4 to 119 matches the Rfam family "5.8S ribosomal RNA", at positions 39 to 154 of the family's 154-position model. The record is from RNAcentral.